This 492-nucleotide ribosomal RNA is filed under the name uncultured bacterium. RNAcentral's name for it is "partial 16S ribosomal RNA". It matches the Rfam family "Bacterial small subunit ribosomal RNA", at positions 29 to 507 of the family's 1533-position model. The record is from RNAcentral.
AGUGAACGCUGGCAGUAGGCCUAACACAUGCAAGUCGAACGGCAGCACAGUAAGAGCUUGCUCUUACGGGUGGCGAGUGGCGGACGGGUGAGGAAUACAUCGGAAUCUACUUUUUCGGGGGGGAUAACGUAGGGAAACUUACGCUAAUACCGCAUACGACCUACGGGUGAAAGCAGGGGAUCUUCGGACUUUGCGCGAUUGAGUGAGCCGAGGUCGGAUUAGCUAGUUGGCGGGGUAAAGGCCCACCACGGCGACGAUCCGUAGCUGGUCUGAGAGGAUGAGCUGCCCCACUGGAACUGAGACACGGUCCAGACCCCUACGGGAGGCAGCAGUGGGGAAUAUUAGACAAUGGGCGCAAGCCUGAUCCAGCCAUGCCGCGUGGGUGAAGAAGGCCUUCGGGUUGUAAAGCCCUUUUGUUGGGGAAGAAAAGCAGCAGGUUGCUACCCCGCUGUACUGACGGUACCCAAAGAAUAAGCACCGGCUAACUUCGUG